RNAcentral lists this ribosomal RNA (402 nucleotides) under uncultured bacterium. Its description in RNAcentral is "bacterial SSU rRNA". It matches the Rfam family "Bacterial small subunit ribosomal RNA", at positions 355 to 774 of the family's 1533-position model. The record is from RNAcentral.
UGGGGAAUCUUGCGCAAUGGGCGAAAGCCUGACGCAGCCAUGCCGCGUGAAUGAUGAAGGUCUUAGGAUUGUAAAAUUCUUUCACCGGGGACGAUAAUGACGGUACCCGGAGAAGAAGCCCCGGCUAACUUCGUGCCAGCAGCCGCGGUAAUACGAAGGGGGCUAGCGUUGUUCGGAAUUACUGGGCGUAAGGCGCACGUAGGCGGAUUUUUAAGUCAGGGGUGAAAUCCCGAGGCUCAACCUCGGAACUGCCUUUGAUACUGGAGAUCUUGAGUUCGGAAGAGGUUGGUGGAACAGCUAGUGUAGAGGUGAAAUUCGUAGAUAUUCGGAAGAGCACCAGUGGCGAAGGCGACAUACUGGCUCAUUACUGACGCUGAGGCUCGAAAGCGUGGGGAGCAAACA